RNAcentral lists this unclassified non-coding RNA (201 nucleotides) under Hevea brasiliensis (rubber tree). The record is from RNAcentral. Lineage: Eukaryota; Viridiplantae; Streptophyta; Magnoliopsida; Malpighiales; Euphorbiaceae.
GGCAUUGACCUUUGGACCUUGUUUGCCCUGCAUCUAGAGCUUGCCUGCCAACUAUGACCUGAAUCCAUGGGCAUCUCCAAGACAUCUAAUGCUGCUGACUUAUAUUCAUAAUUCCUCAAUAAUCCUCUGUAUUCAUGUGAAAACUCAAGGACAAGUUCCUUUGAGGAAGGAGUGAUUGAUGUGAGAUAAGCCCAGCCCAAC